RNAcentral lists this ribosomal RNA (159 nucleotides) under Sinosenecio fangianus. RNAcentral's name for it is "5.8S ribosomal RNA". It matches the Rfam family "5.8S ribosomal RNA". From Rfam's summary of the family: 5.8S ribosomal RNA (5.8S rRNA) is a component of the large subunit of the eukaryotic ribosome. It is transcribed by RNA polymerase I as part of the 45S precursor that also contains 18S and 28S rRNA. Lineage: Eukaryota; Viridiplantae; Streptophyta; Magnoliopsida; Asterales; Asteraceae. The record is from RNAcentral.
GACUCUCGGCAACGGAUAUCUCGGCUCACGCAUCGAUGAAGAACGUAGCAAAAUGCGAUACUUGGUGUGAAUUGCAGAAUCCCGUGAACCAUCGAGUUUUUGAACGCAAGUUGCGCCAGAAGCCUUUCGGCCGAGGGCACGUCUGCCUGGGCGUCACAC